Molecule: long non-coding RNA, 610 nt
Organism: Eleginops maclovinus (Patagonian blennie)
Lineage: Eukaryota; Metazoa; Chordata; Actinopteri; Perciformes; Eleginopidae
Exons: 3
Source: RefSeq, a predicted model, not a curated record
CCCCUCAAGUAUUAGGGGAAUGGCACUGUCCAAUUAGCCACGCACAUCUACAGGUGUUACAGGAGCAAGAAUCAACUAGCUGGGAACCUGAACCUGGAGCAGAGCGAGGUGGACUUUGUGGAGCUGAAGCCCGGCAGAAUGAGGUCCAGACAGACGCUAACAAACAGGAGCCAAGAAGUGACUGACAUGUUUCGGGGUCCCAGCGGAACACCUGCCCCCCCCCCACCCCCCGUCCAGAGGCUGGCAGGUGCAGAAUCGCUCUACUUUUGAUCUAUCCACAGAGUGCCUGGCUGUGAUUAUCCCCGGCUCUCUGCCUUUGAUUCAUGUGUUGCUGCACCGUGGAAUCCAUCUGUUUCAGACCGCCUAUCGCCCGCUUUUAGAAAAUGAUUGUGCUGCACAGAAUCGCAGAGGAGAACACCUACACUUUCUCAUGAUAAGAAAUACAUUGUGGGGAAUAAAAAUAACCAUUCAUGCUCGGCCGUGGCGAGGCAUGCUGGGACUGAGAGGGUAAUUGUAUUGAACCAGAAACAUUCAAUGGUAGGAACAGCUCCUAAAUUGUAAAGAGGACUGGUUUUAUAACUGGCACACAUUCAUUCAACAAUGAGCCAAU